AGGGAGCCACUCUGCGUUCACUCG
Molecule: microRNA, 24 nt
Filed under: Polistes canadensis
Lineage: Eukaryota; Metazoa; Arthropoda; Insecta; Hymenoptera; Vespidae
Also listed under: 1 other name
Description: pca-miR-317-5p
Gene: pca-miR-317-5p
Source: miRBase by way of RNAcentral